CGCUUCUCAGGGUCACACCUGGAGAGUUUCCAAUACUCUACCAGUCUUGACUACAGUAGGGACAGUCAAGCAGAGGCAUACCCAUUCCAUUCCUAGCUUGGUCAGUGGUUAGCGAGUGGAAGGGAAUCUGCUAUAAGU
Molecule: small nucleolar RNA, 138 nt
Organism: Ornithorhynchus anatinus (platypus)
Lineage: Eukaryota; Metazoa; Chordata; Mammalia; Monotremata; Ornithorhynchidae
Source: RefSeq, a predicted model, not a curated record